This 204-nucleotide ribosomal RNA is filed under the name uncultured pozol bacterium #B5. RNAcentral's name for it is "partial 16S small subunit ribosomal RNA". It matches the Rfam family "Bacterial small subunit ribosomal RNA", at positions 237 to 526 of the family's 1533-position model. The record is from RNAcentral.
AAUAANGAUUUCCNNCAUGGCCCUNNNGGNAAUAUUNCACAAUGGACGCAAGUCUGAUGGAGCAACGCCGCGUGAGUGAAGAAGGCUUUCGGGUCGUAAAACUCUGUUGUUGGAGAAGAAUGGUCGGCAGAGUAACUGUUGUCGGCGUGACGGUAUCCAACCAGAAAGCCACGGCUAACUACGUGCCAGCAGCCGCGGUAAUAA